ACUCAAAGGAAUAGACGGGGGCCCGCACAAGCGGUGGAGCAUGUGGAUUAAUUCGAUACUAACCGAAGAACCUCACCUGGGUUUGACAUACACCGGCAAGCUCUGCGAAAUCAGAGCCCUCUAUUCCCAAAAGGUGUAGACCGGUGUACACCGGUUGCAUGGCUGUCGUCAGCUCGUGCCGUGAGGUGUUGGGUUAAGUCCCGCAACGAGCGCAACCCUUGUCCUCUGUUGCCAGCGAGUAAAGUCGGGCACUCUGAGGAGACUGCCGUGGUCAACACGGAGGAAGGUGGGGAUGACGUCAAGUCAGCAUGGCGGUUACAUCCAGGGCUUCACACAUGCUACAAUGGGCGCAACAAAGGGCUGCAAAGCCGCGAGGUGGAGCUAAUCCCAAAAAUGCGUCCUCAGUUGGGAUCGCAGUCUGCAACUCGACUGCGUGAACGCGGAAUCGCUAGUAACGGUGGGUCAGCUAUACCACCGUGAAUACGUUCCCGGGCCUUGUACACACCGCCCGU
This 512-nucleotide ribosomal RNA is filed under the name uncultured bacterium. RNAcentral's name for it is "partial 16S ribosomal RNA". It matches the Rfam family "Bacterial small subunit ribosomal RNA", at positions 899 to 1397 of the family's 1533-position model. The record is from RNAcentral.